Molecule: long non-coding RNA, 4070 nt
Filed under: Sus scrofa (pig)
Lineage: Eukaryota; Metazoa; Chordata; Mammalia; Artiodactyla; Suidae
Description: lncRNA (ENSSSCG00060017592.1)
Source: RNAcentral
UACUUACGGUAUGAUUUUAUUCCUUUCAUAUGAUAUUAUAAAAGGCAAAACAAAUCUGCAGUCUUUAUAAAAAGUCAAACGGUGGUUGCCUGGGGACAGGGGUAGGCAGUAAAUGUUACAAGGAAACCUUCUCAAAGAAUGAAAUGUUGUAUAUAUAUUUUUUUUCUUUUUUUGUCUUUUGUCUUUUGAGGACCACAUCCACAGCAUAUGGAGGUUCUGGGGUUUGCCCAAGUUAAGAGCUCUGCAACUUUGCCCCCGGGUGGUGCCAGAGGCUGGCCCAUGAUGCCAUCUGUGCUGGCACAGGCUGAGGACUUGCACCCACCCUCUCACCUGCCCUGCCCCACCUCCGUGCUCCAGCUCCACACCCCUAAGGGGCCAAGCAAUUUGUCUAGGCCCAAGCAGGCAGGUGCCGUUCCUGAACUCCGUCUUACUCUAACUUUUAAAAGUCACUUUAUAUACUUUUAACUUUGAGUCAUAGAAGAAACACACAAAAGCAGGCACGAUAUAAGAAAUUCAAAAGCUACCAAAGACUACAAAAUGAAAACUGAGAAUUCUUCCCAACCACCUCCCUGAGCUCACCUACCUCCUGCCUCAAGAGGAAGCCUGGCUCAUGUCCCUGGAGGCGACCACAGGUCAUCAGGGCAUAUUAUCUGGCAAAACAACAGUCAAAAUGCUUGCUGUGGACCAGCGGUUGCCACAGGCCUCUUGUUGUUCUAGUCCCUUCUGGUUUCAUGGUCCCUAAGCCCGAGGCCCAGCCUGGGGUGUCAGGUCAGGGCAGGGAGAGGCAGUGCGGGUCUGACCAGGGGCGGCAGGGGCGGCGGCGGCGGCGGCGGCGGCGGCGGCAGCGGCGGAGGCGACAGCCAGGAGCAUGCAGGCGGGAACAGACCGUACUCACGCAAGGUUUGUCUGGGAUCACGCAGUGGCCUUGUCUUCCUCGUCUCCUCCCUCCCUUUACCACCCACGGGCCCCAGGACACCCUUGACCUUCUCUCGCACCAAAGCUGGGUUAAGAAGGAGGCUUUCAGGGGCUCUUCCACAGCCCUUAAAAUCAGGGUCAGCUCUUGGAGUUCCUGUCGUGGUGCAGCAGAAACAAAUCCGACUAGGAACCAUGAGGUUGCGGAUUCGAUCCCUGGCCUCGCUCAGUGGGUUAAGGAUCCAGCAUUGCCAGGAGCUGUGGUGUAGGAUCUGGCGUUGCUAUGGCUGUGGCAUAGGCUGGCAGCUGUAGCUCCGAUUUGACCCCUAGCCUGGGAACCUCCAUAUGCCACGGAUUCGGCCCUAAAAAGGCAAAAAAACAAAACAAAACAAAAAAACCCCUCAGCAUUAGCGCUUGCUUCUGGGUCUAACCUUAUUGCGGGUUUUACACCCUGUCUCCAGGGUCCAGUCCUAACUGCAUGCCUUCGACCUUCUAUGUCGCUAUAGGGGUAAUAUGUCCAGCACACCAGAUCCUCCUAAUUCGGUGGCCUGUCCCCGCCCUCACGUGUCCCCUGGCCUUGAAUCACAGCCCCACGGCAGAGCCUGAGAGUCUGCAGUGGCCCUCCUGAUGCAGGGCUCCAGGUGGCAGAAGGGACCUCCUCCUGGUGCCUGUGACCUGGCUGUCUCUUUAGUAUCCCCUCCCCAUGGUGAACCAGUCCAGGUAACGAGCUGUGUCCUAGUACAAGCCAGGUCCCAAAAGCAGGAGAGAGACAGGUGGCAGAGAUAAGUGCUUCCAGGUACCCUGACCCCAUCAGGUGAUAUCACAGGCGGGGGUGGCAGGGAAGAACUGUCCAGAACACUUGUUUGAAAGCUGAAGAAGGAGUUUAGGUCACUGGCCAUUCUCAGCUCUUCCNCACACACACACACACACACACACACACACACACACACACACACACACACACACACACACACCCAGCCAUCGGGCACCAGCGCAGAGGCAGUGCCAGCUGACCACCGAUGCUGCUGGUGGUGUUUGUCUUCUCCGUCCACCUCUAUCCUGUGGUCUGUGCACAGCGUUGUGGGACAGGCAGGGUGUGGAAUUCUAGGACCAGUGUGAGCUGUCAGCUAAGGAACAGCUUCUGAGCGCAUCCACCCAGAACUCUGCCUUCACAUGAAGAAUACAAGCCAGACCGAGAAUAAAACAGGGAGAUCAGGCCUGUGCUAUCCCAGGACACCCGAACAUUGAUGAGAAUUCCCCACCUGUCAGCCCUCUGGACCUUGACUUAGCUGCAGGGCACUGAGCUAUUGCUUAGAGGCAGAGCUGGUCCCCAGGAUGUGGAGAGAGGAGAAGCAGGCUCAGGACUUGCCAUGAGAAGCCAGGUGGAGGUUCCAGGUCUGAGAAUAAUGGGCUGUGACCUUGAGCCUCAGACAGCAAGCAGCAUGGACUCACAUAUCAUCUAAGGUCCUCUCCAUCUUCCACAUUUGGUGAGUCUAUGUUUUCCUCCAUUGCUCAAACAGGAAAAGCCACUGGUCUUCCUACCCAAGCUACUCCACCACAUUAGCAAGACCAGGAAAAGGCAUAUUUAUAUGUUUAACCAAGAUGGUGCUCCUAGUCACAAUAGCCAAGACAUGGAAACAACCUAAAUGUCCAUCAACGGAUGAAUGGAUUAAGAUGUGGUAUAUAUACACAAUGGAAUACUACUCGGCCAUAAAAAAGAAUGAAAUAAUGCCAUUUUGCAGCAACAUGGAUGGAACUAGAGACUCUCAUACUAAGUGAAGUAAGUCAGAUAGAGAAAGAGAAAUACCAUAUAAUAUCACAUAUCUGGAAUCUAAUAUAUGGCACAAAUGAACCUUUCCACAGAAAAGAAACUCAUGGACUUGGAAAACAGACUUGUGGUUGCCAAGGGGGAGGGGGAGGCAGUGGGAUGGACUGGGAAUUUGGGGUUAAUGGAUGCAAACUAUUGCCUUUGGAAUGGGUAAGCAACGAGAUCCUGCUGUAUAGCACUGGGAACUCUAUCUAGUCAUUUAUGACGGAGGAUGAUAAAGUGAGAAAAAGAAUGUAUACAUGUAUGUGUGACUGGGUCACCUUGCUGUACAGUAGAAAAUGGACAGAACACUGUAAACCAGCUACAAUGGGGAAAAAAUCAUUUAAAAAAAAAGAGAGAGAGAGAUGGUGCUCUUGGCCACCAUCCAGGCAUUUGCUGGGUGAUAUUCUCCUAACUGGAUGGAUGGGUAACUGGCCCACAGAGUCUUUGGAGAAGCAAAUUCUUGACUAUUCUCCUUGCCUGGGAUAGCUCAGAGUCACGCACACACAGUAGGCCUGCAGCAAGGCACUGAAUGAAAAGAGCAGGAUUGAGACAGCCAACCUUUCCCACAUAACCCACCAUAAAAUAAAGAACACCCUGUGGAGGCUUUGGGGGUUUGAAAUGCAUCUCAUAAAGGAAAAAAGUCUCUGAGCUCAACUAAUUGACCCAGGGGUCGGCGUGCAGCGAAUGCCAACCUGCUAAGGGAACAUAAGUUGGCUCAGGUGGAAGAUACUGAGGUUACAAGACCACGCCUCUGCUUAGAGAGUUUCGAAAGCACCCAAGCAACAGGUACAGACAGGUCUCAGGAGGCUGUUCGAAGGAGCACAAUAUGAUCUAAUAGCUUUAUAAUGUCCUCGAGGAAGAUAGGAGUGUAUCAAAUUUGCUAUCUAGAACUAAGCAGGUAAUUAAAGCUUCCUACAUGUAAAACAAAGACUUGAAUUCAAUAACCUGGAGUUCUUUUAGGCUUUAACUUUCUGUAGCCAUUCAUAAAUUUAAAUAUCCUGGAAAUAAUCAUCUCGUACAUUACAUGCAUGCUCAGGGAAGAAAUAUUUUUAGGUUCAUUCCAGGUGCAUUCUAAACACAUUGAGAAAUUGGGAGUUCCUGUCGUGGCACAGCAGGAAUGAAUCUGACUAGGAACCAUGAGGUUGCGUGUUCAAUCCCUGGGCUCACUCAGUGGGUUAAGGAUCCAGCGUUGCCGUGAGCUGUGGUGUAGGUCGCAGAUGUGGCUUCAAUCCUGCGUGGCUGUGGCUCUGGCGUAGGCCAGCAGCUGCAGCUGCCCUAGCCUGGGAACUUCCAUAUGCCAAGGGUGCGGCCCUAAAAAGACAAAAAGACAAAAAAAAAAAAAAAAAAA